UACGGCCAUAUCAAAAGACCGGUUUUCAUACGAUCACCGAAGUUAAGCAACGUCAAGCAUGGCCAGUAGCUAGAUGGGUAACCGCUAUGGAAUACCAGGUCCUGUAU
Non-coding RNA from Acanthosepion pharaonis, 107 nucleotides. Lineage: Eukaryota; Metazoa; Mollusca; Cephalopoda; Sepiida; Sepiidae. The record is from the annotation of a GenBank genome assembly.